GACACACAAAAAAGGGGAAUUUAAAAACAACAACGCUCUCAAAGCAAAUACACAUCUCAAGACCUGAUGUACAAAAAGUCACUUAAAUCUAAUCUAAUCCACAGUGACACCAAAGCGGAAGGUUUCAGUGAAACGACGAGAGGAGGCUGUUAUUGAUGAACAGAUGAAAUUAUAUUACCCACAAGGAGAGAAAAAAAACUCUGAUUGGACAUUGUUUAUGGCAGCAGACGCUCAGUCAGACUCCGCGGUCCCUCUGAGGAGGUCUCUUCCUCUUAAAGCAGAUGAAUAUCGAUGAUCCCUCAGUGGCUGCAGGAAUAUUUCACUCAUCUGGUGACACACCGCUGUGACCUUUGACCUCUGACCCAGGAAACUGCAGGACGUACCUGAGAGCAGCGGCGUCUCCAAACAGAGACAUCACUGAUGAAUAAAUCAGUAAAUCAAACUGAACGACUCGGAGCAUCCGGCCACCGCC
Long non-coding RNA from Plectropomus leopardus (leopard coralgrouper), 472 nucleotides. RefSeq lists it as uncharacterized. Lineage: Eukaryota; Metazoa; Chordata; Actinopteri; Perciformes; Serranidae. The record is from RefSeq and is a predicted model, not a curated record.